UGCCAGCCGCCGCGGUAAUACGGAGGGAUCGAACGUUAAUCGGAAUUACUGGGCGUAAAGCGUGCGUAGGCGGUUUCUUAAGUGGAAUGUGAAAGCCCCGGGCUCAACCUGGGAAUUGCAUUCCAUACUGGGGAACUAGAGUGUGAUAGAGGGAGGUAGAAUUUCCUGUGUAGCGGUGAAAUGCGUAGAUAUAGGAAGGAAUACCAGUGGCGAAGGCGGCCUCCUGGAUCAACACUGACGCUGAGGUGCGAAAGCGUGGGGAGCAAACAGGAUUAGAUA
RNAcentral lists this ribosomal RNA (279 nucleotides) under uncultured bacterium. RNAcentral describes it as "partial 16S ribosomal RNA". It matches the Rfam family "Bacterial small subunit ribosomal RNA", at positions 506 to 784 of the family's 1533-position model. The record is from RNAcentral.